Molecule: ribosomal RNA, 281 nt
Filed under: Salmonella enterica subsp. enterica serovar Kentucky
Lineage: Bacteria; Pseudomonadati; Pseudomonadota; Gammaproteobacteria; Enterobacterales; Enterobacteriaceae
Description: partial 23S ribosomal RNA
Rfam family: Bacterial large subunit ribosomal RNA
Source: RNAcentral
GGGUUGUGAGGUUAAGCGACUAAGCGUACACGGUGGAUGCCCUGGCAGUCAGAGGCGAUGAAGGACGUGCUAAUCUGCGAUAAGCGUCGGUAAGGUGAUAUGAACCGUUAUAACCGGCGAUUUCCGAAUGGGGAAACCCAGUGUGAUUCGUCACACUAUCGUUAACUGAAUACAUAGGUUAACGAAGCGAACCGGGGGAACUGAAACAUCUAAGUACCCCGAGGAAAAGAAAUCAACCGAGAUUCCCCCAGUAGCGGCGAGCGAACGGGGAGGAGCCCAGA